Molecule: ribosomal RNA, 231 nt
Filed under: uncultured bacterium
Lineage: Bacteria
Description: partial 16S ribosomal RNA
Rfam family: Bacterial small subunit ribosomal RNA
Source: RNAcentral
GAUCCUGGCUCAGGACGAACGCUGGCGGCGUGCCUAACACAUGCAAGUCGAACGGAGAAUUUUAUUUCGGUAGAAUUCUUAGUGGCGAACGGGUGAGUAACGCGUAGGCAACCUGCCCUUUAGACGGGGACAACAUUUCGAAAGGAGUGCUAAUACCGGAUGUGAUCAUCGUGCCGCAUGGCAGGAUGAAGAAAGAUGGCCUCUCGAAGCAAGCUAUCGCUAAAGGAUGGG